ACGAACUAAAAAACAUAACUGGACUUAUGUUCUAAGGAACACCAUAAGUACAAAGUUAUUAACGUAAGAAGUCUGACUUAUGUUAUAAAGAACAUCAAAAUGUAACAUUUCUUUAGAGAAAGUGGUUACUUAAAAAUAUUUAUAACGUAAACAAUACUUCGGUAAGUGGUUUUAAUUUACUAAUGUUGUCGAUUGUGCACAGUUUGUUGGUUAGUUGUGUGUGAGUGCUUAAGUAUUUUAAUUAUUUAAGAUGAAUAUUCAAAGAGGCAAGAAAUUCGUUGAAAUGGUGUUAUCCACUCAUCUGGAAAGCAAUGAAGAAAAUGUAAAUCAGCAGUCGGUUUUGAACACAGAGAACCUAGUAGUAGACGAUCCUAUACCGUCAACAUCAUCAGGUCAAGUCAGUAGUUUAACAUACUAUUCUGCACUUGACUUCUCUAGUUAUGAUUCUGUACGAGAUCCAUGUUAUGAAUUACCGAGACUUCCAAUCACAUCGAGUUCAAGUACUUGUGAUGAAAUUUCAAUGAAUCCUAAUGUGUCUCCAAAAAAGAGUAUACGUACUAUAAAAAGAGAGAAAAAAAAAACGUAACUUAGGACAGGCAUACAAAACUUUAAAGGGAAAUGUAUAUCAGAUCGCACUAUGCAAAAAUUUUUUUAAGAAAAAACAAAAAAAAGGCCGCUGAGUUUGUUUCGCCAGUUCUUCUCAGGACUGUGGUUUUUUUUGGAACCGGUGGUAGAGUUAACAUUGUUAUUUAUAUUUUGACAUUCAACAAGUGUGUUAUACUGACAUCUAAGUUGAAAUAAAUGAUUUUGAAUUUGAAAGAGUUUGCAGAAUGAAAUGUAAAGAACGUAUACCUUAACUGAUAGGCAUGCCAUAUUUACAGAAUAUUGGCAAAUGGGGUCAUAUGCAAAAAGAUCUGUAUACUUGGCGUCUUUAAUGGAAAUUCAAGAUAAAUCUAAGCAAAGAAUACGAGCUAUUGAACCUGAAAAGCAAAAGCUUAGAAUGAAGACAUAAAAAUACUUUUUUACUGUGCAUGGUAAAGGUGAACCUGUCUGCCGAGGAUGUUUAAUGAAACCGUUAGAUGAAAGUGACAAUUUUAUAAAGACAGUUGCUAUGAAAAGGAGAUCAUCCAUUGGGGGUUCUCAAACUAAUGAUAUAAUAUCUAUACAGCCAUUACCCAUAUCCAUCGAGAAAAAAAAAGAUUUAAUUUCGCUGCUCCCUUUAAUACUAGAUAUUUUCCAUGAAUUUUAAAUAAGUCUUCCCACGUUGGAAACUUUACGAAAUACUGAUCCAGAUAUUUUAGAACUCGAUGAAGAAGAAGAAUUUUAAUUAAACAUUAAGUUGUUAUUUAUAUUUAUGACUUAUAUUAUUAUAAUAUAUAUCUUAAUUGUUGAUCUUUUUCACUUAACUCAUACUAUUAUUGCGUUCCUUAUAACUUAAGUCAUCUAAUUAUUAAAUAAUCACAUUUA
This is a long non-coding RNA of Bombyx mori (domestic silkworm), 1467 nucleotides long. RefSeq lists it as uncharacterized. The record is from RefSeq and is a predicted model, not a curated record. Lineage: Eukaryota; Metazoa; Arthropoda; Insecta; Lepidoptera; Bombycidae. The transcript has 2 exons.